RNAcentral lists this ribosomal RNA (368 nucleotides) under uncultured organism. RNAcentral's name for it is "bacterial LSU rRNA". It matches the Rfam family "Bacterial large subunit ribosomal RNA", at positions 2099 to 2465 of the family's 2925-position model. The record is from RNAcentral.
CUUUACUGUAACCUGGAAUUGGGUUCGGGCUUUGCUUGCGCAGGAUAGGUGGGAGACUGAGAAGUGUGCCUUGUGGGGCACAUAGAGUCAACGGUGAGAUACCACUCUGUCAGAGCUAGAAUUCUAACCUUCACCCGUGAUCCGGGGAAGGAACCGUAUCAGGUGGGCAGUUUGACUGGGGCGGUCGCCUCCUAAAAGGUAACGGAGGCGCGCAAAGGUGUUCUCAGGCUGGUUGGAAAUCAGCCGUAGAGUGUAAAGGCAGGAGAACGCUUGACUGUGAGAGUGACAACUCAAGCAGGGUGGAAACACGGCCUUAGUGAUCCGACGGUAUGCGCGUGGAAGUGCCGUCGCUCAACGGAUAAAAGUUA